Small nuclear RNA from Callithrix jacchus (white-tufted-ear marmoset), 158 nucleotides. Its record names the gene U2. It matches the Rfam family "U2 spliceosomal RNA". From Rfam's summary of the family: U2 is a small nuclear RNA (snRNA) component of the spliceosome (involved in pre-mRNA splicing). Complementary binding between U2 snRNA (in an area lying towards the 5' end but 3' to hairpin I) and the branchpoint sequence (BPS) of the intron results the bulging out of an unpaired adenosine, on the BPS, which initiates a nucleophilic attack at the intronic 5' splice site, thus starting the first of two transesterification reactions that mediate splicing. Lineage: Eukaryota; Metazoa; Chordata; Mammalia; Primates; Cebidae. The record is from Ensembl.
ACCUCACUGUUGGAGACUCCGAUUCAGUAGAUAAAUCCACUAUCCAAGGACAGUAUAUUAAAUGGAAUUUUGGAGCAGAGGGAUUGAAUAGGAGCUUGCUCCAUCCACCCCUCGUAUUGACCUGGUAUUGCAGUACUUCCAGGAAUGGUGCACUCUGC